Molecule: ribosomal RNA, 484 nt
Filed under: uncultured bacterium
Lineage: Bacteria
Description: partial 16S ribosomal RNA
Rfam family: Bacterial small subunit ribosomal RNA
Source: RNAcentral
AUUGAACGCUGGCGGCAGGCCUAACACAUGCAAGUCGAGCGGAUGAAGGGAGCUUGCUCCUGGAUUCAGCGGCGGACGGGUGAGUAAUGCCUAGGAAUCUGCCUGGUAGUGGGGGAUAACGUCCGGAAACGGGCGCUAAUACCGCAUACGUCCUGAGGGAGAAAGUGGGGGAUCUUCGGACCUCACGCUAUCAGAUGAGCCUAGGUCGGAUUAGCUAGUUGGUGGGGUAAAGGCCUACCAAGGCGACGAUCCGUAACUGGUCUGAGAGGAUGAUCAGUCACACUGGAACUGAGACACGGUCCAGACUCCUACGGGAGGCAGCAGUGGGGAAUCUUGGACAAUGGGCGAAAGCCUGAUCCAGCCAUGCCGCGUGUGUGAAGAAGGUCUUCGGAUUGUAAAGCACUUUAAGUUGGGAGGAAGGGAAGUAAGUUAAUACCUUGCUGUUUUGACGUUACCAACAGAAUAAGCACCGGCUAACUUCGUG